UGGUUCCGUGACUAUCACUUGCAUAAU
RNAcentral lists this small RNA (27 nucleotides) under Bombyx mori (domestic silkworm). RNAcentral describes it as "ovarian small RNA-35220". The record is from RNAcentral. Lineage: Eukaryota; Metazoa; Arthropoda; Insecta; Lepidoptera; Bombycidae.